RNAcentral lists this ribosomal RNA (485 nucleotides) under uncultured bacterium. Its description in RNAcentral is "bacterial SSU rRNA". It matches the Rfam family "Bacterial small subunit ribosomal RNA", at positions 29 to 507 of the family's 1533-position model. The record is from RNAcentral.
AUGAACGCUAGCGACAGGCCUAACACAUGCAAGUCGAGGGGCAGCACGAAGUAAGCUUGCUUGCUUUGGUGGCGACCGGCGCACGGGUGCGUAACAGGUGUGCAAUCUGUCCAUAAUCGGGGAAUAGCCCAGCGAAAGUUGGAUUAAUGCUCCAUGUGAGUUUUAGAGGCAUCUCUUUAAUUUGAAACGUAAGGAUUAUGGGUGAGCACGCUUCUGAUUAGGUAGUUGGUGAGGUAACGGCUCACCAAGCCGACGAUCAGUAGGGGUUCUGAGAGGAAGGUCCCCCACAUUGGAACUGAGACACGGUCCAAACUCCUACGGGAGGCAGCAGUGAGGAAUAUUGGUCAAUGGGCGCAAGCCUGAACCAGCCAAGUCGCGUGAAGGAUGAAGGUUCUAUGGAUUGUAAACUUCUUUUGUCUGAGGGUAAAAAGCGGACGUGUCCGUUCUUGCAAGUAUCAGACGAAUAAGCAUCGGCUAACUCCGUG